Gasterosteus aculeatus aculeatus (three-spined stickleback) is the source of this 1887-nucleotide long non-coding RNA. The record is from Ensembl. NCBI's taxonomy places the organism in Eukaryota, Metazoa, Chordata, Actinopteri, Perciformes, Gasterosteidae.
CAACAAUUGAAAUCAGGCUUAAAAUGUCGACUGAAACCUUUGUGUGUCAUUAAUUACACAAACGCUCAUUAACUCAAGAUCAUUGUUGUUUCACUUCAUUCAAGUCAACGAGUAAUAAAGAACAUGUGAUUCUCUUUGGUCUGAAGAAAACAAGACGGAUUCAUUUGGUUUUAUUUUUAUUAAAAUGUAUUUUCAUUGUUAAAAUAAUAAACAUUUAUAAACCAUAAUAAACAACAUAUUUAACAAUAAUAAUAAAACAAUCAUUGGGAAAACAUCUGAAGCAGUUCCUGAGAAGAGAGAAAAGAAGAAGUUAUUAACAUGUUAAUGUUGUUAGUGUGUCUGUGUGUACAUCUAAAUGUUAGUGUGUCUGUGUGUACAUCUAAAUGUUAGUGUGUCUGUGUGUACAUCUAAAUAUUAAUAUGUCUUUGUGUACAUCUAAAUAUUAGUGUGUGUCUUUGUUUAGUACCAAAUGUUAGUGUGUCUGUGUGUACAUCUAAAUAUUAAUGUCUUUGUGUACAUCUAAAUAUUAGUGUGUGUCUUUGUGUACAUCUAAAUGUUAGUGUGUGUCUUUGUUUAGAACCAAAUGUUAGUGUGUCUGUGUGUACAUCUAAUUGUUAGUGUGUCUGUGUGUACAUCUAAAUAUUAGUGUGUGUCUUUGUGUACAUCUAAAUGUUAGUGUGUGUCUUUGUUUAGAACCAAAUGUUAGUGUGUCUGUGUGUACAUCUAAUUGUUAGUGUGUCUGUGUGUACAUCUAAUUGUUAGUGUGUCCCGAUGACGUAGUGUCCCGAUGACGUGGUGUCCUGAUGGCGUCCUGAUGGCAUCCCGAUGACGUGGCGUCCUGAUGGCGUCCUGUUGGUCUGCAGACAAGGAGAAGAGACGUGAGGAGGAUCAUCAGGAUGUGUCUAUUUGGAUUUGCUCCUGAGGGGUUGACGCGGCGUCCUGAUGGCGUCCUGAUGGCGUCCCGAUGACGUGGUGUCCUGAUGGCGUCCCGAUGACGUGGCGUCCUGAUGGCGUCCUGUUAGUCUGCAGACAAGGAGAAGAGACAUCUGGAUUUGCUCCUGAGGGGUUGACGCGAGGUCCUGAUGGCGUCCUGAUGGCGUCCCGAUGACAUGGCGUCCUGAUGGCGUCCCGAUGACAUGGUGUCCUGAUGGCGUCCUGAUGGCGUCCUGUUGGUCUGCAGACAAGGAGAAGAGACGUGAGGAGGAUCAUCAGGAUGUGUCUGUGUGUACAUCUAAUUGUUAGUGUGUCUGUGUGUACAUCUAAAUAUUAAUGUGUCUUUGUGUACAUCUAAAUGUUAAAUGUGUGUCUUUGUUUAGAACCAAAUGUUAGUGUGUGUCGUUGUUUAGAACCAAAUGAUAGUUGUCUGUGUGUAGAUGUCAUUGUUAGUGUGUCUUUGUUUAGAACCAAAUGUUAGUGUGUCUGUGUGUACAUCUAAAUAUGAAUAUGUCUUUUGUGUACAUCUAAAUGUUAGUGUGUGUCAUUGUUUAGAACCAAAUGAUAGUGUGUCUGUGUGUACAUCUAAUUGUUAUUGUCUUUGUGUACAUCUUAAUAUUAGUGUUUGUCUUUGUUUAGAACCAAAUGUUAGUGUGUAUGUGUGUACAUCUAAUUGUUAGUGUGUCUGUGUGUACAUCUAAAUAUUAAUGUGUCUUUGUGUACAUCUAAAUGUUAGUGUGUGUCUUUGUGUACAACUAAAUAUUAGUGUGUGUCGUUGUUUAGAACCAAAUGAUAGUGUGUCUGUGUGUAGAUGUCAUUGUUAGUGUGUCUGUGUGUACAUCUAAUUGUUAUUAUGUAUUUGUGUACAGCUAAAUAUUAGUGUGUGUCAUUGUUUAGAACCAAAUGUUAGUGUGUCUGUGUGUACAUCUGUGUGUGUGUGUGGGGGGGGAGUGU